UAAAUACUAAUACCAGAUCGAUAGUGCACAAGUACCGUGAGGGAAAGGUGAAAAGAACUGAGGUGAUCAGAGUGAAAUAGAACCUGAAACCAUUUGCUUACAAUCAUUCAGAGCCCUAUGUAGCAAUACAGGGUGAUGGACUGCCUUUUGCAUAAUGAGCCUGCGAGUUGUGGUGUCUGGCAAGGUUAAGCAAACGCGAAGCCGUAGCGAAAGCGAGUCUGAAUAGGGCGCUUAGUCAGAUGCUGCAGACCCGAAACGAAGUGAUCUAUCCAUGAGCAAGUUGAAGCUAGUGUAAGAACUAGUGGAGGACUGAACCCAUAGGCGUUGAAAAGCCCCGGGAUGACUUGUGGAUAGGGGUGAAAGGCCAAUCAAACUUCGUGAUAGCUGGUUCUCUCCGAAAUAUAUUUAGGUAUAGCGUUGUGUCGUAAUAUAAGGGGGUAGAGCACUGAAUGGGCUAGGGCAUACACCAAUGUACCAAACCCUAUCAAACUCCGAAUACCUUAUAUGUAAUCACAGCAGUCAGGCGGCGAGUGAUAAAAUCCGUCGUCAAGAGGGAAACAACCCAGACUACCAGCUAAGGUCCCUAAAUCUUACUUAAGUGGAAAACGAUGUGAAGUUACUUAAACAACCAGGAGGUUGGCUUAGAAGCAGCCAUCCUUUAAAGAAAGCGUAAUAGCUCACUGGUCUAGUGAUUUUGCGCGGAAAAUAUAACGGGGCUAAAGUAAGUACCGAAGCUGUAGACUUAGUUUACUAAGUGGUAGGAGAGCGUUCUAUUUGCGUCGAAGGUAUACCGGUAAGGAGUGCUGGAGCGAAUAGAAGUGAGCAUGCAGGCAUGAGUAGCGAUAAUUAAUGUGAGAAUCAUUAACGCCGUAAACCCAAGGUUUCCUACGCGAUGCUCGUCAUCGUAGGGUUAGUCGGGUCCUAAGUCGAGUCCGAAAGGGGUAGACGAUGGCAAAUUGGUUAAUAUUCCAAUACCAACAUUAGUGUGCGAUGGAAGGACGCUUAGGGCUAAGGGGGCUAGCGGAUGGAAGUGCUAGUCUAAGGUCGUAGGAGGUUAUACAGGCAAAUCCGUAUAACAAUACUCCGAGAACUGAAAGGCUUUUUGAAGUCUUCGGAUGGAUAGAAGAACCCCUGAUGCCAUCGAGCCAAGAAAAGUUUCUAAGUUUAGCUAAUGUUGCCCGUACCGUAAACCGACACAGGUGGGUGGGAUGAGUAUUCUAAGGCGCGUGGAAGAACUCUCUUUAAGGAACUCUGCAAAAUAGCACCGUAUCUUCGGUAUAAGGUGUGGUUCGCUUCGUAUUAGGAUUUACUCCGAAAGCGAAGAAACUUACAACAAAGAGUCCCUCCCGACUGUUUACCAAAAACACAGCACUCUGCUAACUCGUAAGAGGAUGUAUAGGGUGUGACGCCUGCCCGGUGCUCGAAGGUUAAUUGAUGGGGUUAGCAUUAGCGAAGCUCUUGAUCGAAGCCCGAGUAAACGGCGGCCGUAACUAUAACGGUCCUAAGGUAGCGAAAUUCCUUGUCGGUUAAAUACCGACCUGCAUGAAUGGCGUAACGAGAUGGGAGCUGUCUCAAAGAGGGAUCCAGUGAAAUUGUAGUGGAGGUGAAAAUUCCUCCUACCCGCGGCAAGACGGAAAGACCCCGUGGACCUUUACUACAGCUUGACACUGCUAUUUGGAUAAGAAUGUGCAGGAUAGGUGGGAGGCUUUGAGUAUAUGACGCCAGUUGUAUAUGAGCCAUUGUUGAGAUACCACUCUUUCUUAUUUGGGUAGCUAACCAGCUUGAGUUAUCCUCAAGUGGGACAAUGUCUGGUGGGUAGUUUGACUGGGGCGGUCGCCUCCCAAAUAAUAACGGAGGCUUACAAAGGUUGGCUCAGAACGGUUGGAAAUCGUUCGUAGAGUAUAAAGGUAUAAGCCAGCUUAACUGCAAGACAUACAAGUCAAGCAGAGACGAAAGUCGGUCUUAGUGAUCCGGUGGUUCUGUGUGGAAGGGCCAUCGCUCAAAGGAUAAAAGGUACCCCGGGGAUAACAGGCUGAUCUCCCCCAAGAGCUCACAUCGACGGGGAGGUUUGGCACCUCGAUGUCGGCUCAUCGCAUCCUGGGGCUGGAGCAGGUCCCAAGGGUAUGGCUGUUCGCCAUUUAAAGCGGUACGCGAGCUGGGUUCAG
Molecule: ribosomal RNA, 2165 nt
Filed under: Salmonella enterica subsp. enterica serovar Anatum
Lineage: Bacteria; Pseudomonadati; Pseudomonadota; Gammaproteobacteria; Enterobacterales; Enterobacteriaceae
Description: partial 23S ribosomal RNA
Rfam family: Bacterial large subunit ribosomal RNA
Source: RNAcentral